RNAcentral lists this transfer RNA (70 nucleotides) under Dipodomys ordii (Ord's kangaroo rat). It matches the Rfam family "tRNA". From Rfam's summary of the family: Transfer RNA (tRNA) molecules are approximately 80 nucleotides in length. Their secondary structure includes four short double-helical elements and three loops (D, anti-codon, and T loops). Further hydrogen bonds mediate the characteristic L-shaped molecular structure. tRNAs have two regions of fundamental functional importance: the anti-codon, which is responsible for specific mRNA codon recognition, and the 3' end, to which the tRNAs corresponding amino acid is attached (by aminoacyl-tRNA synthetases). tRNAs cope with the degeneracy of the genetic code in two manners: having more than one tRNA (with a specific anti-codon) for a particular amino acid; and 'wobble' base-pairing, i.e. permitting non-standard base-pairing at the 3rd anti-codon position. Lineage: Eukaryota; Metazoa; Chordata; Mammalia; Rodentia; Heteromyidae. The record is from Rfam by way of RNAcentral.
GGGAAAGUGGCUCAGUGCUAGAGUGCUUGCCUUGCAUGCAUGAGGCCCUAGGUUUGAUUCCUUAGCACCA